AGGUCCAACAGGGGGCGCCGCGUUGGAACGCCCAAAGGGGUUGGGGGUUCGGGUGCGGUGGGCGAGCAAGCGAGUGUAUGGCGGCCAGGCCCAGAAGGCCACGAGGACCGCUGGCGCCGAGGCGUCAGUCUUUCAGACUCCAAAAGUAGCAAAGGCCGAGCGAGGAGGUUAGGGGCUCCCAAAGGCCAGCCCUUGGGGCUGUUGAUGGCCAGGCUAACCCGACAGGAGGCGCCGCUGCCACCGAGUGACUGGCUACCAGAUUCUGAAACCCUAAGUGCCUUGGAUGAGUGGGGCUUAAGAGACCACAGAACUGGGUCAAGGAUUAAGCUCAGUGGCACCACACCUGCCUUGCAAGCUCAAGGUCCUGGGUUUGAUCCCUGGUACCAAAAAAAAAAAAAAAAAAUUAGAGGCCACAGAACUACAGCCAGACAUUUGAGGAAGCAGCAAAUACAAAAGACAGCUGAGUGGCCUGGCCAAAGACAGCUGAGAGAUUUGGUGUGGUGAGAGCCGAGGAUGAGCACCAUGUGGAUGGACUGGAGGAUCAUCUUGGUCAGCCAGAUCAUCAGAAGCCCAGAGCACUUCCUGUGAGAUGCCUGGGGCACCGGUGCCCUUGUCCUCCUGCUACAAGGGGUCACCUCAGCCAGCCUUUCACUUUCCUCCACCCAUCAGUGCCACUCCAGCCUGCCUCUCCAGAAGCUUUGGUGCAGGGAUCACGAGGCUAAGGGCGAACUUGUGAGUUAACCACAGAGACGGCUGCCUCGUUCCCAUGGAGAAACCAGGUCCCAGCCCUAGGCCUUCCAUGACAACCGUGGACUCAUCCCUCCCUUGUGGAGAGCUCACAUUUCCUGUAAACACACCUGACAGGGGCAACUGGUCUCUAGCAACAAAGAGGUGGGCAGUGCUGGGGAGAUUUUUUUUGGAAAGACCAGAGUUUCUAUGUGUACAACAGUAUCUUUAAUAAAGAAUUGCAGAGGAAAAAAAAAAGAGGAAGAAGGGAGCUGCUGACAAUCAGGUGCCAGGCACUGAAGACGCCAUAACCAGGACGGAUGGAGACUCUGAGUCUCGUGGGAGAGUAGGCCAGAGAAGGGGAAGAUGAAGGCGCUGCCCAGAAGCGCCAGACCCGGGUAUCCAUGACGACAACACCUGGUGACUCCCUGGUUUGCUGUCUGCACAUGACUUCUGGAGUGAGCUCACUUAUCAGGACCAACCGCACAGUCCUGGAAGCUUCAUCUCCAUCCAGGCUGUGGCCAGCCAGAGAUUGUAACUCCGAAGUUCUGCUGAUGAUCCUGCAACACACUGGUCCCACAGCCUGCGCAGGUCUAGAAGGAGAGGAAACAGAGGGAUGUAAUUAAUGCACCAUUGAUGAACUCAGCUAAUUUCUUCCCCUUCUUAAGCCAGACCUGUCUCACAGUGCUGUCCAGGAUGGGAAGUUCACAAACAGAAUCUCUACAAAAAACAGGAAAGCAGCCCCAGUCACCCCUGUUUGUUUGUACCUUGAAACAGCUCCAAGGUGCUUCCUCUCUGCAGACACCACCUUCGAAGUCAGGCUCCUUGUUUAGCCAUUAGCAUCAUGAACCUGACACCCUACCCUCUAUGAUGGGACUCUCCCCACAGCUGUGACUCCAUGUUCAUCCAGGCCUUCUCUUCCCCCCGUUGCAGGUUACGUGACCUGGGCCUGGAGCAGUUUGACACAGAGGAUCCUGCUACCUGCUACUGUUCUGCUAGCUCGCAUCCUUCAAGUUCAUUACUUGCAUGAAGACUUUCAGAUGCCCACCGGCCUGCAUAAUCCUCUCAUCCAACAGAAAGGAACACCCUGUGGGGCCAGCUGUCCCCCAGGUGCCUGGGAAGAUUCUGCUAAUGGACUUGGAGAAUGGGCUCCGCUCGCUGAGGUGAAUUAGGUUUACCUUCAUUUGCCAACUCACUCAUUUCUAGCCAUUUUUUUGAAGUUGCUGGAGACACUAGAACCUUGCAUGUCUUUGCCUGGUGGCUGACAGGACACAGCUUUGUCCUUUCCACGAGGCCCCCCCCCCGUCUUGUGGAGACCCCUGUGGGAGUGGCACCCUGCUUUCUAAUGGGUCUUGGGGAGCACUCAAGCAGCUGACGCAUCUCUUAGUGGAUGUCCUAUAUGCCUGAGGACAUGUUUGCUUUUUCUCUCCUUCUUCCUUUCUUCCUUCCUUUCUCUCUCUUUCUCUCUCUAUCUCCUCUCUUACCAUUACUAUAUUUUAACUAAAUUAAGAAUCUGGCUGUGGAACUUGGCUUUUAAGGGCUUCUUAAUUUUAAACUGAGUCACUAAUACUUUAGAGUAUUUUGCAGAAUUCUUAUUUUAAAAGGUGGUACAUUGCCAAAGCAAUUCAUUUUCUCACUAUGAAAAAUUACGCAGGCGGCUAAAGUCUUCUUAAUGCUUGAAUCUGUUUUUCCAAUCAAACUGUGCCACACUCCUACCACCUUAGUGAAAAAGUACACAAAAUCCCUCGGUUUGAUUACCUCCCUGCCCCAGGGAUUGUAAAACAGUGUUGCAGCUCUCUCCUUUGCACCCCCAGGCCUGUUUUCGUUUGUGCCUGCUUUGCUGGUACCCAAGGUGGGAGCUGAGCACUUUGGAAGGGAAGAAGGGGCCUCUGGUGAGUGUGGUCCCCUGGGCACCCACGCCCCGGAGCCCCUCAGCCAAGUGCUCAGCAGCGUGUGGCACCCACAGGAUCCCCGCUGCGAGCCAGGAGGCAACUGGGUCCCGUAGGAUCCACUCAGUGAGCCUGUGAAGGACAGGGCUCUCAGAGGCCGACCUGUUGUUUUUACUGCUAAGGAGGAAGUUGGCAAUGUUCAGGCACCAGCGUGGCUCUCUAACUAAUAUAAAGACCAGCUCCGGCUGCUUUUCUCAGCCUUUUGUAAAUGAUCUGUGGUCCACACUCCCCUCCAUGUGGAGGACCCGGGUGUGCAAGUCUCUCAGGUCUCCUGCAGCGCCUGCACCCUGUGUCCUCGCACCAGGGAUGCCUGCUAUGCUCAGCUGCUCAGUUCCAGCUUGUAGAGUGUUAAUCUCAUUCCCUUAAAAACUUCAGCGGGGAAUGAAUGCCCAUCACUAGCAAACUGGUUAAACAGAUUACAGUGUGUCUCAGCAUCAUAAUGCUCUGCAGCCAAUAAAAAGAAUGAGGCAGCAGUAUAUAUACAGGUACGGAGUAAGUUGCAAGAUGAAUUGCCAAGUGGAAGAAAGCAAAGUGUAGAGCACUGUGUGUAGAAUGUGCUGCCAUUUGUUUAAGGAAAAUCCAUAUCUAUAUAUCUGCAUCUGUAUCUUUGUAUAUCAUAUCUUUGGAGGACUACAUUGGGUAGGACAGUGACUUUCCUCUGUGGCCCUUUUAUGCCUUUUGGAUUGUUUUAAAACUGUAUGCAUAUUUGUCUACUUAAUGUAAUAAAUGAACAAAAUAUUAAAAACUUGUUAGUGGAUUUGCUGUUUAAAUAAAACCA
Molecule: non-coding RNA, 3453 nt
Organism: Heterocephalus glaber (naked mole-rat)
Lineage: Eukaryota; Metazoa; Chordata; Mammalia; Rodentia; Bathyergidae
Source: RefSeq, a predicted model, not a curated record